UUGUCUCAACAUCUUCGUCGGUAUUCUGAACUUCUUGCAAAAAUUGUUUAAACAAACUUAGAUCACAUUUUGUCUUUCGUUUUGUAUUGUCGUUCUUGUUUUCCUCGAUAAAACUGUCGACAUCAACCGACACGAACCUCGAGUCGGCCAUCUUUGUUUUGACAAGGCGCGAAAUCUAGCGGGACAAAAAACGAUAUCCGGGACAAAAAAGAUAUCAGGGAUAAAAAAACGAUAUCCGGGACGAUAUCGUUUCUAUGUCCCGCUGCUUCCUACCUGAUAAAGGUACAAG
Molecule: non-coding RNA, 289 nt
Organism: Paramuricea clavata
Lineage: Eukaryota; Metazoa; Cnidaria; Anthozoa; Malacalcyonacea; Plexauridae
Source: the annotation of a GenBank genome assembly